CCGGCCCGCCGCGCCCGCACCUGCUCGGGCCGCGCCGGAGUCGGCGCUUCCCAAGCCUGUGGAUGGCACGGGGAAAGCGUCCGGCACAGGCGUGAUGCCUUAGGGGUGGCCUGUAAGAGUUGCUGUGUUUCUUGGAGUGCGAGAGAUUAGAGGCGGCUUUACCAUCAAAACAGAGCCAUGGGGGUGGCAGCUUGCAACAGCAGCUCAACAUGGGCACAGAGACCAUCACCCUGGGGCUUCACAUUGAAGAAACUCCAUGUCAGAGAGAUGUCUCAUUUAAUACAUCAUAUUU
Taeniopygia guttata (zebra finch) is the source of this 292-nucleotide non-coding RNA. NCBI's taxonomy places the organism in Eukaryota, Metazoa, Chordata, Aves, Passeriformes, Estrildidae. The record is from RefSeq and is a predicted model, not a curated record.